Molecule: ribosomal RNA, 1695 nt
Filed under: Salmonella enterica
Lineage: Bacteria; Pseudomonadati; Pseudomonadota; Gammaproteobacteria; Enterobacterales; Enterobacteriaceae
Description: partial 23S ribosomal RNA
Rfam family: Bacterial large subunit ribosomal RNA
Source: RNAcentral
UAUAAUGGGUCAGCGACUUAUAUUCUGUAGCAAGGUUAACCGAAUAGGGGAGCCGGAGGGAAACCGAGUCUUAACCGGGCGUUAAGUUGCAGGGUAUAGACCCGAAACCCGGUGAUCUAGCCAUGGGCAGGUUGAAGGUUGGGUAACACUAACUGGAGGACCGAACCGACUAAUGUUGAAAAAUUAGCGGAUGACCUGUGGCUGGGGGUGAAAGGCCAAUCAAACCGGGAGAUAGCUGGUUCUCCCCGAAAGCUAUUUAGGUAGCGCCUCGUGAAUUCAUCUCCGGGGGUAGAGCACUGUUUCGGCUAGGGGGCCAUCCCGGCUUACCAACCCGAUGCAAACUGCGAAUACCGGAGAAUGUUAUCACGGGAGACACACGGCGGGUGCUAACGUCCGUCGUGAAGAGGGAAACAACCCAGACCGCCAGCUAAGGUCCCAAAGUCAUGGUUAAGUGGGAAACGAUGUGGGAAGGCCCAGACAGCCAGGAUGUUGGCUUAGAAGCAGCCAUCAUUUAAAGAAAGCGUAAUAGCUCACUGGUCGAGUCGGCCUGCGCGGAAGAUGUAACGGGGCUAAACCAUGCACCGAAGCUGCGGCAGCGACACUGUGUGUUGUUGGGUAGGGGAGCGUUCUGUAAGCCUGUGAAGGUGUGUCGUGAGGCAUGCUGGAGGUAUCAGAAGUGCGAAUGCUGACAUAAGUAACGAUAAAGCGGGUGAAAAGCCCGCUCGCCGGAAGACCAAGGGUUCCUGUCCAACGUUAAUCGGGGCAGGGUGAGUCGACCCCUAAGGCGAGGCCGAAAGGCGUAGUCGAUGGGAAACGGGUUAAUAUUCCCGUACUUGGUGUUACUGCGAAGGGGGGACGGAGAAGGCUAUGUUGGCCGGGCGACGGUUGUCCCGGUUUAAGCGUGUAGGUGUGUGUUCCAGGUAAAUCCGGUUCACUUUAACACUGAGGCGUGACGACGAGGCACUACGGUGCUGAAGCAACAAAUGCCCUGCUUCCAGGAAAAGCCUCUAAGCAUCAGGUAACAUCAAAUCGUACCCCAAACCGACACAGGUGGUCAGGUAGAGAAUACCAAGGCGCUUGAGAGAACUCGGGUGAAGGAACUAGGCAAAAUGGUGCCGUAACUUCGGGAGAAGGCACGCUGACACGUAGGUGAAGUGAUUUACUCAUGGAGCUGAAGUCAGUCGAAGAUACCAGCUGGCUGCAACUGUUUAUUAAAAACACAGCACUGUGCAAACACGAAAGUGGACGUAUACGGUGUGACGCCUGCCCGGUGCCGGAAGGUUAAUUGAUGGGGUCAGCGCAAGCGAAGCUCCUGAUCGAAGCCCCGGUAAACGGCGGCCGUAACUAUAACGGUCCUAAGGUAGCGAAAUUCCUUGUCGGGUAAGUUCCGACCUGCACGAAUGGCGUAAUGAUGGCCAGGCUGUCUCCACCCGAGACUCAGUGAAAUUGAACUCGCUGUGAAGAUGCAGUGUACCCGCGGCAAGACGGAAAGACCCCGUGAACCUUUACUAUAGCUUGACACUGAACAUUGAGCCUUGAUGUGUAGGAUAGGUGGGAGGCUUUGAAGUGUGGACGCCAGUCUGCAUGGAGCCGACCUUGAAAUACCACCCUUUAAUGUUUGAUGUUCUAACGUGGACCCGUUACCCGGGUUGCGGACAGUGUCUGGUGGGUAGUUUGACUGGGGCGGUCUCCUCC